GUCUAUGGCCAUGCCACCCUGAACACGCCCGAUCUCGUCUGAUCUGGGCCUGGUUAGUACUUGGAUGGGAGACCACCUAGGAAGACUGGGUGCUAUAGGCA
RNAcentral lists this ribosomal RNA (101 nucleotides) under Pteropus alecto (black flying fox). The record is from RNAcentral. Lineage: Eukaryota; Metazoa; Chordata; Mammalia; Chiroptera; Pteropodidae.